RNAcentral lists this ribosomal RNA (636 nucleotides) under Hepatozoon felis. RNAcentral describes it as "SSU rRNA". It matches the Rfam family "Eukaryotic small subunit ribosomal RNA", at positions 198 to 822 of the family's 1831-position model. Lineage: Eukaryota; Apicomplexa; Hepatozoidae. The record is from RNAcentral.
GAGAUGCAUUUAUUAGAUAAAAAACCAAUACAUGCUUUUAAAGUAUGGAAUUUGGUGAUUUACAAUAACUUAGCAAAUCGCAUAGUGAAAACAGGCGAUAAAUCAUUCAAGUUUCUGACCUAUCAGCUUUCGACGGUAUGGUAUUGGCUUACCGUGGCAGUGACGGUUAACGGGGGAUUAGGGUUCGAUUCCGGAGAGGGAGCCUGAGAAACGGCUACCACAUCUAAGGAAGGCAGCAGGCGCGCAAAUUACCCAAUUCUAACAGCAUAAGAGAGGUAGUGACAAGAAAUAACAAUACAAGGCAGUUAAAAUGCUUUGUAAUUGGAAUGAUAGAAAUUUAAACACUUUUUAAAGUAUCAAUUGGAGGGCAAGUCUGGUGCCAGCAGCCGCGGUAAUUCCAGCUCCAAUAGCGUAUAUUAAAAUUGUUGCAGUUAAAAAGCUCGUAGUUGAAUUUCUGCUAAAAAUAACCGGUCUGCUUUUAAUAAAGGUGGUAUCUUGGUGUGUUUUUAGCAAUAAUGUCCUUUGAAAUGUUUAUUACUUCAUUGUAAUAAAUUAUUUUCAGGAUUUUUACUUUGAGAAAAUUAGAGUGUUUCUAGCAGGCUAACGCUUUGAAUACUGCAGCAUGGAAUAAUAAGA